CCUUGAAGGCUAACACUUCUUUCUUGGGAGACUAAGACACAGGAAAUACAGUGUCUCCAAGGAGGCAGCUAUUUGAUUUCACCAGGCUGGGGUGGUUGUGGGGGAAUGGGCAAUAAGGAAACAGGAGGGGGCAUCCAGCUGUGCACUUGGCUAUUCUUCACCCUUGGAAUUUAUAUAUGAUAUGGAGAUAAAUUGGACUUCCCUGGUGGUUCAAUGGUAAAUAAUCUGCUUGCAGUACAAGAGGUGUGGGAGGAGCCGCAGGUUCGAUAGGAUUCUGGGUCGGGAAGAUCCUGUGGAGAAGGAAAUGGCACCCCACUCCAGUAUUCUUGCCUAGAAAAUCCCAACAACAGAGGGGCCUGGUGGCCUACAGUCCAUGGGGUUGCAAAGAGUUGGACACAACUGAGUGACUAAACAACAAAUGGAGAGAAAUUGACCAAAGAGGCUGGAAGUCCAAGAUGAAGCUGUUGGCAGUGCUGAUUUCUUCUGAUGGCUGCCAGGGAGGAUCUGCUCCAUGUCUCUCCCCUAGCUUCUGCUGCUUUGCUGGCAAUCUCUGGAGUUCCCUGACUUCUGCUACAUCACCCCCAUCUCUGCCUUCAUCUUCACAUGGGAUUUGUUCUCCCUGUGCGCCUGUGUCCAAAUCUCCCCUUUUUGUAAGGACAAGUUGGAUUAGGGGGAUACCGAACUCCAGUAUGGCAUCAUCUUGACUUAAUUACAUCUGCAGGGAAGGACCCUGUUUCUAAAAAAGGAUCCCACACAACCGAUAUUGUGGCUUCUCAGUGAUCUUGUCAGGCGAUUCAGCAUCACUCAGGGUUGACGUACUGGAGCCUUAGGACCGCUCAGCACCUGAUG
Bos taurus (domestic cattle) is the source of this 849-nucleotide long non-coding RNA. NCBI's taxonomy places the organism in Eukaryota, Metazoa, Chordata, Mammalia, Artiodactyla, Bovidae. The record is from Ensembl.